UCUUGGCGUCUUUCAUGUUCUGUUUUCUAUUUACUGUGCUGCUUCUUUGCUUCUCCUCCCACCUCUCUCUCCUUCCCCUGCUUAGCAGUUAAACAUUCAAUUUCUAUUCUUUUGGUGGUUAAUGAUUAGCAUGCAUGAAUAAAGGUUUAGAUCUAAUCAAUAUCCCUAUUAUUUUCUUAAACAAUACAAGGAACUUGGGAGGUUUUAACUCCUAACACCCUCUUCCAGGUCUGCAUUAUUGUUGGGUGAGAUUGUAUUUCACCUUUAAAAAAUCAAAGCUCCCGGGGGAUCAUCAGGUAUGGCCACAGUUUUGAGGUCAGAGUCGUGUGGAGCGUUUGGGCUCCUCAUCAGGAGCUUGCUGGCUCCCUGAGCUCCUGCCUUCCUGGCGUUGUUUCUGGGUGUGGUUUGGCUCUGGCUGAGGUCACCUGUGGGAUUUCUCUUAGUAAGGGAAUGUCAGCAGCAAGAUUUCUUAGACUUCUUUGUGUGAAGUAUCUUCUUCUCACUCCCUAUCACUGGGCCUGGCUGUGACUAGUGCCCCAUCCUGUGGUCUCUGUCCCUCCCAAGGGAUUCUCACGAGAUACUUGCUGUUACUGUGUCUCUAAAUUCCUUUUAUACUUUCCACAUGAGCCGAAUUCUGGAUGAUUUCCUCAGAUCUACAAUUUAUUAAAUUGGUUCUCUCUUCUGGUCAGUGUUUUAUGUAAGGCACCCCAAGAAUUUUCCAUUUUAAUGACAAUUAUUUCUAGAAGUUCACUUGAAUUCUUUUCCUGGUCUCCCUCUUAACAUAGUCUCCCAUUUUCUUUUCUUUCUUCCUUUCAUGCCUUUUACUCCUGCAUGGUAUUGCGUGUUAGAAUGGUAGGAUCUUAAGGUGUCUGAUUUUGCUUUCUUUUUUUUUUUUCCUUUUGGGGUGGGUGGUGGGUACAGGGAUUAAACUCAGGGGCACUCGACCACUGAGCCACAUCCCAGCCCUAUUUUGUAUUUUAUUUAGAGACAGGUUCUCACUGAGUUGCUGAGCACCUUGCUGUUGCUGAGGCAGGAUUUGAACUCACGAUCCUCCCGUCUCAGCCUUCCGAGCCACUGGGAUUACAGGCGUGCUCCAUCACGCCGGGCCUGAUUUUGCUUUCUAUUCACAGUUCUCGGUUCUGAGUUUUGCUACAUUGUGUGUGUUUACUAAUUCUCUUACAGCAGUUAUUUACUUCCCAAGGUGAGCGAUGCUUUUGUCCUGGACUUAUCUUUGCUGGGGUGGUUUCUGUGAAGUGCAGGUGCUUGUUUGGGACCCUUCAGAUUCCGGACCAUUGUGUGCCAGCUUCUCACACUGGGUUCUUGAGCCUCUGGGGUGGUCUGAAUUGAGACCAUGCUGCUGGGCGGGGACAUUCUGCUUUCCCUGGAGGGGACCUUUGACUUUCCACAGCCCUGGAAGAUGCUCGACUUCUUGUUGCACCCCUGGCCAACAAAAGAACAGAUACCUGUCCCCUGUUUCAUGGCCCCCAGCCCUGUGACUGGGGAGAGGAAGAGCCGAGUACCGGCUGCUGCCUCUCGGGAGUCAGGACCCUGAUAUUUAUCUACCUGCAGUCCCUGCUGCAUCUCCCUGUUCCUGCCAUCCUCACGCGCUGACUCCUUGUCCUUCUUGCUCUCUGCUCUGCAACCUGAGGAGGCGCUCUCCUUGUUUGCAAGCUUGGCUGUGUAUUUACUAAUGGGGGGAUGGGGUCGAAUCUUAUCUGGCAUGUCAUGGAAGUGGGAGGGUCUCCCAGUCUGAAAACCGAAUUAGAAAUCAGUAAUGAGGAGGCCAUUUGUACUGAGGGUGUUAUUGCCUUUUUGAGCCUUGCUAUAUUUGCCUUGUGAGGUUGGGAAUGACGUUGGUGCCUCCCCAGCAGGAAGGAGGGGAGAUGGAAGUGUUAAGUUCUCAGGCUCCCCCCUCCUGCGGCUUCUGAGUUAUGCGAUGUGAUACACUUGUUCUGUUUAAGAAUUACUUGUCUGGGGGUACAGUUGAGGGCAGAGCCCUUGCCUGGCAUGUUGGUGCCAUCCCUGACUUUGACAAAAAAAAAAGAAAGAACUGCCUCUGAGUCUUGAACCUGGGGCUCCCCCACAUUGUGUUUUCCCACGUGCAAAAUUGUUCCAAAAAAACCCAAACACACAAGCCGCCCUCUGAAGGUGCUGAGCCCUGUGCAACCGACACUGUUGGACUGAAAUCAGAGACUCGCUGGGUCAUGUCAGCAGCCUGGGAACUGGCCACCAUCCUAUUGACUGGCCGCUCUGUCCUCUCCAGAUAAGAGACUCUCUCUCCUUACAGCGAGUUUUCCAUGCGUUUGGCUACGCGAAGCACAGUGACCAGCGCACAGUGAACUGCGAGACAGGGAUAGUGGCUGCGGCUCUCAGUCAGAUCUGACGACUGACCAGGCAGGAUUGACUUAAACAGGGACGUGUGACAAAAACAGCGAUCAUUCCUGAGUUGAACUGGGAUUAUCGACAGGCUUCCUCUUGGCUGAUUCCUGUGGCUGCUGGCACCAGAGAAAGCUGCAAGGAGACUGUCCUCUCAGUCCAGUUAGAAUGGCUGUCGUUGAAAACAAAACCACAAACACGAUAGCUGGCCCAGCCGCACGAGCUGUGAUCUCCAAUACUCAGGAGGCUGACGCAAGUAGAUUCCAAGUUCAAGGUCAGACCCUGUCUCAAAAUAAAAAGGACUGGGCAUGUAGCUCAGAGGUACGGUGCCCCUGGGUUUAAUCCCCUGUGCCAUAAACAUCAUCAACAACAACAACAAAAUAAAACAAACAGAAUGCUGGUGAGGAUGUGGAGGAAAAGGAGAGCUCAUUCACUGUUAGUGGGAAUAUAAAUUAAGACAGCCAUUAGGAGAACAGUGUGGAGGGUCCUCAGAACACUAAAAGUAGAUCUGCUAUAAGAUCAUUGAUCCCACUUCCGGAUACACGUAAAGGAAAUGAAAUCAGUGUACCAAAGGAAUACCUGCAUGGCCACACUUACUGCAGCUCUGUUAUGGAGCUAAGAUCCGGAAUGGCUGUGUGAGUGUGUCUAUGUAUAUGCACACAGGUGUGUGGUGAAAGACUGUUCAGCCAUGAAGAAGAAUUUGCAGCUAAAUGGAUGGAACUAAAGGACAUUAUGUUAGGGGAAAUAAGCCAGACACAGACAGAAAGGUUCUGCAUGUUCUCUCCCAAGUGUGGAAGCCCAAAUAUGUCGCGACCAGGAUAGAACACCAUAAAAAUUAGUGAUUAGAGGC
RNAcentral lists this long non-coding RNA (3226 nucleotides) under Marmota monax (woodchuck). Lineage: Eukaryota; Metazoa; Chordata; Mammalia; Rodentia; Sciuridae. The record is from RNAcentral.